Molecule: long non-coding RNA, 372 nt
Filed under: Zostera marina
Lineage: Eukaryota; Viridiplantae; Streptophyta; Magnoliopsida; Alismatales; Zosteraceae
Description: long non-coding RNA (ZMAR_LNC003046)
Source: RNAcentral
UGCUUCGGCCAGAAGCUGUCACAUUUUUUGAGCAUGAUAGAUCUGUCGCUCCGGACAGAUCAAUCAAGGAUGAGGAGCAGCAUGAGAGGCAGCUCCGCACGGCAAGGUCAGUAGAUCAAUUAAUAUAUCCUUUAGACUGAUAUAGUUAUUUUGCAGGUUGUUUUUUGUUUUGCAGGCACGAUUCUGUUGCUUCGGCCAGAAUCCACGCAUUCUGUUGCUUCGGCCAGAAUCAAACCAAGAACUAUGUUGUCGCUUUGGCUUCAAUGGUUCUUUAAACAUUUGGAGAUCAUUUUUGUCAUUUGACCUUAAUGAUCUCGACCCAUCUUGCGCUUCGGCCUAUGGGGUAACCGUCGUUGCAGACAAAAAGUCGCC